This 514-nucleotide ribosomal RNA is filed under the name Malassezia restricta. RNAcentral describes it as "eukaryotic LSU rRNA". It matches the Rfam family "Eukaryotic large subunit ribosomal RNA", at positions 65 to 583 of the family's 3401-position model. Lineage: Eukaryota; Fungi; Basidiomycota; Malasseziomycetes; Malasseziales; Malasseziaceae. The record is from RNAcentral.
CUAACAAGGAUUCCCCUAGUAACGGCGAGCGAAGCGGGAAGAGCUCAAAUUUGAAAGCUGGCGUCUUCGGCGUCCGCGUUGUAAUCUCGAGACGUGUUUUCCGUGCGGCUCUAUGGACAAGUCCCUUGGAACAGGGCAUCGUAGAGGGUGAAAAUCCCGUACUUGCCAUGGAAGUACCGUGCUUUGUGAUACACGCUCCAAGAGUCGAGUAGUUUGGGAUUGCUGCUCAAAGUGGGUGGUAGACUCCAUCUAAAGCUAAAUAUCGGGGAGAGACCGAUAGCGAACAAGUACCGUGAGGGAAAGAUGAAAAGCACUUUGGAAAGAGAGUUAAAAGUACGUGAAAUUGUCGAAAGGGAAGCACUUGAAGUCAGCCAUGCUGCUUGAGACUCAGCCUGGCUUUUGCUUGGUGUAUUUCUCGGUAGCAAGCCAGCAUUGGUUUGUGUCGUCGGAGAAGCGCAUGGGGAAUGUGGCAUCCUCGGAUGUGUUAUAGCCCUGUGCAGGAUACGACGACGUA